CGACGUGGACAACCUGCCGUAUGCAGGGGGAUACCAGCUGGAAACAGCUGCUAAUACCGCAUAUGCGCACAGGGCCGCAUGGCCUGGUGCGGAAAGGAGCAAUCCGGCAUACGAUGGGUCCGCGUCCGAUUAGCUAGUUGGCGGGGCAGCGGCCCACCAAGGCGACGAUCGGUAGCCGGCCUGAGAGGGCGGACGGCCACAUUGGGACUGAGACACGGCCCAGACUCCUACGGAAGGCAGCAG
Molecule: ribosomal RNA, 243 nt
Filed under: uncultured bacterium
Lineage: Bacteria
Description: partial 16S ribosomal RNA
Rfam family: Bacterial small subunit ribosomal RNA
Source: RNAcentral